RNAcentral lists this long non-coding RNA (373 nucleotides) under Homo sapiens (human). RNAcentral's name for it is "non-protein coding RGMB-AS1:12". Lineage: Eukaryota; Metazoa; Chordata; Mammalia; Primates; Hominidae. The record is from RNAcentral.
AUUUCUACGGAUUAAUUCAAUGGCAGCUCACUUUCUCCUUUUAUGAUCGGAUGGGUCCGAAAGUGAGGAAAAAGACAAUUGUCUACAAAGAAAGAGGCUGCCAAGUGGAGACAGAAAAGCAGUUAUGAGACUGAUGAUAGAUUCCAAUUUGUUAUCGUACACGGGUGCUCUAGAUUUUCCUAUCAAUAGAGGGCGUCCUCGAGUCAUUGCAAAUCCUGGUGUCGUUAAACGGAACUGUUCUUCAGAGGAAAAACUUCAUCUCUAUAAGAAAGGAAGGAGGAGACCUGAACAGUACAUCCGGAGAAUCCAGCAAAGCAUACUACGGCAUGAACGUGCAAGUGGACAGAAUUAAAACACAUGCCAGAAACACUAA